GGGGAUUUAGCUCAGCGGUAGAGCGCUUGCCUAGCAUGAGGCAAGACCCUGGGUUCGGUCCCCAGCUCCG
This 70-nucleotide transfer RNA is filed under the name Rattus norvegicus (Norway rat). It matches the Rfam family "tRNA". Rfam says of the family: Transfer RNA (tRNA) molecules are approximately 80 nucleotides in length. Their secondary structure includes four short double-helical elements and three loops (D, anti-codon, and T loops). The record is from Rfam by way of RNAcentral. Lineage: Eukaryota; Metazoa; Chordata; Mammalia; Rodentia; Muridae.